RNAcentral lists this long non-coding RNA (3621 nucleotides) under Triticum aestivum (bread wheat). The record is from RNAcentral. Lineage: Eukaryota; Viridiplantae; Streptophyta; Magnoliopsida; Poales; Poaceae.
AGGGACGGCACGGCGAUUGGGGACGAGCAGGAAUGAACCAACAAGCGUAGGACGAGGAGGAGCUCCAUCAGCAGAAGCUCAUGGAGGAACAAGUCUGAAUCUCCUCACGGCAUAGGUGGUUCGACUCCACUCAUCUAAUCUGCUCUCUCCCCCUUACGCUCAUGUGCAUGUGUAUGUGUAGAACCAAUUAGAUUAGAUUAGAUCCUUGAUUAGAUGGUUUCAAGAGAAAAGUGCUGACCUUAAUUGAUAGAUUCAGGAAUUGACGCCCUUGUGGGCACAAUCAGCAUGCAACUAUGAUUUAUUCAUAUUCGUCAAUGGAGAGGGAAUGCCCAAACCAAUAGUGAUUAUUGGAAUAAAUAUUUCAGUGAGAGCAGCUAUGUUUUUUGUUAUAUUUAGUAGUCAAUGAUGGUGGAUUUCCUAAAAAAAGGUUAUAGAUGGUGCAUACUACUUGUCUGCUGCCCAAUUGUGACCUUUAUUUUCUUUGCAUUGGUGACUGUCACUCCACGGUGUUUUUAGUCGCACAUGUCAAACAGUAAUACUUGAAGUUCUGUCAAUCCUACAUGGUCCUUCUGCACUGCAUAUAUAAAGUUUCUAAAUUUUGCAUAUCUGCAUAUGUCUCAUGUACUUGAUUUCCAAAUUCGUUUGUGGUAAUUUCGGUUCUUUUGCUUACUGCAAGUAACAUGGAGAUGCCUUGUGGUUUUGUUCUGUUCGUGAAGAUGCAGCAAUGAGAGGAAAACCAUGGUUGCCUCUUCAGUGGUGUUUUUUGUUUGAAUCAUACCCUGAUUAGGCGGUUUGAAAUUUCUGAUGCUGCCUCUUCAGUGGUGUUUUUCAAGAAAAAACCUUGGCUGUCUGAGCUCCCAGAUCUCAUCCCAUCGACCAAUUUUUCUCGCUUUCUGUUCCGUCGGUGUUUUUCUUUCUGUUUGCAUCAGCUGAUUAGGGUGCUCGAGUGAUGACAUCCAUGUGGACUAGAGUUUCUGAUGCUGCCUCUUCAGCAGUGUGUUUGAAGACAAACCCUUGGCUGUCUGAGCUCCCAGAUUUUCUUCAAAAUGAUGCCUUUUUUCCUGAUGGCUUUUUUUGAUUAGUUGAUGUGUGUCUGUUACCAAUUCGGGUUGAUGAUUUUUGUUCCUCACAAGGUAAUGGCUCGGACGCUAGAAUUGAUUCUGUGGUGAUAUCCUGAUUGGUGGCGUUCUUGGUGCCAGCUUAUCCUGGAAAAGCCACAUAUAUUCACAUUAGCACAUUCUUUCUUGUUAUUUUACUGUGUUUUUGGGAUCUAAAUGAUGCAAAACUACGAAAGGGAAAGCGUCCAUGUCAGUUUUCUUUCACAUUCAUAGGGAGAUUUGAUAGAUUCCUCUGUUUGUUUUUUGUUCUUUGUUGCAUUUUUAUUCUUUUUAUUCAUGAAUGUGGAUGGAGUAAAAUACAGUUAUCCCCGUCUUACUUCCUCGAAAGGGUGCUGACAGUCUUUGAAUCUCACACAAUUUACUAUCCACUGAUCACUUGUUAUUUCCCUUUCUUUUGGUUUUUGUAAGUGUAAAGUUGAUCUUCGCGGGUGACGAUUAGUAUUGAUUGUUGAACAGGUACAUAGAUUACCUGUACCAUGUCGACAUUUCCUCCCCUGAGCUCCAAGUAUCCACGGUGGCCUCCUCCUUUUUCCUCUCCUCGGCCGUGUGCUGACGCCAUCAAGGUUUUGAUUUGAUCUUCUUCCCUUCCUUGGUUUCCUCACGCGCUCCUACUCCACAACCAUAGGGAUGGCAUAGCGAUUCGGGACGAGCAGGAUGGGGCCAACAAGCCUAGCAGAAGGAGGAGCUCCAUCAGCAGUAGCUCACGGAGGAACAAGUCUGAAUCGUUGCUGUUUGCGCUCACUCUGGUGUCCUGGCUUCACUUCACGGCAUAGGUGGUUAGAUUCCGCUACUCUGCUCUGCUCUCUCCCCCUCACACUCAUGUGCAUGGGCAUGUGCAGGGAUUCAACCAAUUACUGUAGCUACCAUCAAUUAGAUUAGAUCCUUGACUAGAUGGUUUCAAGAGAAAAGUGCUGACCGUACUCGACUGAUUCAGGAAUUGGCACCCUUCUGGGUACAACCAGCAUGCAUUUAUGAUUUAUUUAUAUUCAUCAAUGCUCAAACCAACAGUUCCUAUUGGAAUAACUGUUUCAGUGAGAGCAACUAUGUUUUUUGUUAUAUUUACUAGUCAUAGAAGGUGGAUUUCCUAUAAAAGAAGUUAUAGAAGGUGCAUACUGUUUGUCUGCUGCCCAGUUGCGACCUUUAUUUUGUUUUCAUUGGUGACGGUGAAUCCUCCAUGGUGUUUUUAGUUUAUAAGUCAAACAGUAAUAAAAUCAUCUAGCCGCUUAUGUAGGGAGCAUGGUAGAGUGGCUAGCAGCUUGGAGCUAUUCACUUGAUAGCAAAACACAGGGAUAUUUACAUGCCAUACUGUUUGUCCAUGAUCUUAUAGCUCAAGUACCAUUUCCGGGAAUUGCGUGCAAGUGCUUGCCUGUGAGGUGUGAGCUGCAGGAAUUUAAUACAUCGAAUGCCAUCAUUUUUCGUUUGCCUACAAUUGUUUGUCUAUGAGCAUUUGCACUGAUUGUUGUUGUGAUAUACCUCCACAGAUUCCACUGAAAAGAUUGUUCUAGGCACCUAAUCUAUUUGUUUGUUUGAUUCAGAGCAGUAGGCAUCCUCCACGGACGACAUUGACGAGGAACAUGCGGUACUGCAUGGCCGAGCUGCUGAGCUCGAGAAGAACAUCAUCGAGUCCGACCCCAACAUUGAAGGUGAUUACGACAACCCGCACAAGUUUGCUCCGCCCUCCCACCCAUUGGUGGUAAGCCAUUGGUUCUCUGUCAGCUCCACCCCCCCCCCCUCUAGGUGGACAUCAUUGAAUUUAUAUUGAAGUUUUCCUAUGUCAGCCCAUAAAGAAUCUAGCUUUUGGUUUUCCGAGACAUGGGGAUCACUACAUGUUCCUAUAUGAAUGUUUAAGCAACAAAAGUGCUUGUUGUCUUAAGUGUCAACUUAGCUAUCUGUGUUUCAAACCACCUCCUGCCCAAUUCAUGGGUUGAGCAUAGUCAUAUGCCAUCUAAAGGAUGAACUGAAUGUGGUUUAUCCAUUAUCCUACUUGCAGUACUUUAAAGUCAUGCAAGUGAAGAUAGACAUGAUAGACUUCCGUGCUGCAAAGCUAUUCACCUUUGUUUAUAUAAAUGACCAUUCAUACCUAUUCCCCUCCAUCAUGCUUCUAAACUGGAUAGUAAUAAACAAUUUUGGUUGGCAGGAUGCAACUGUGUCACCACAGGCUUUAUCCCGUCUCCCUUUAGUCUGGGUAUAUUUUAGGUAUGGGUGUUUAAUUCGGUGUCGUUUUGGUUGGAACCGCAGGAUCUGUUUGCCCGUGAUUCUUGCCCCAAAAGUGGACUUGGACAAACUACAAGUUCGACGAUGUAAGAUAAUACUCAAUUUGUUUGGUCAUGUUACUGUUUGCCCAAAGUUGACUCUUUCUUCAUUUGUGUUUUCGUCUUGCAGAGGUGUUCACAUAGGUGAUCGUUGCUGUGAUGAACUGGUCAUGUUCAUGUUGCUGGGAUGAGGCCUCCCGUGCGGCUUCCCCUGCACUUCCGGGGCUGUUUCUUCUCCGUCUCCAGUGCAG